Non-coding RNA from Cherax quadricarinatus, 674 nucleotides. The record is from RefSeq and is a predicted model, not a curated record. Lineage: Eukaryota; Metazoa; Arthropoda; Malacostraca; Decapoda; Parastacidae.
UCUAUGUGCGGGGUUAUUUGUGUAUCAUUCCAGUCACGGUAUUGUGCCUUUUUUUGUUAUUUAUGAUGAGGGUAAUGAUCAUCAAGGAUUAAGAUGAUGAGGGUAAUUAUUAUCUAGGAUGAGAUGAUGAGGGUAAUGUCAUCUAGGAUGAGAUGAUGAGGGUAAUGAUCAUCAAGGAUGAGAUGAUGAGGGUAAUGAUCAUCUAGGAUGAGAUGAUGAGGGUAAUGAUCAUCCUAGAAUGAGAUGAUGAGGGUGAUGAUCAUCAAGGAUGAGAUGAUGAGGGUAAUUAUUAUCUAGGAUGAGAUGAUGAGGGUAAUGAUCAUCAAGGAUGAGAUGAUGAGGGUAAUGGUCAUCAAGGAUGAGAUGAUGAGGGUAAUGAUCAUCUAGGAUGAGACGAGACUUUGCUAAGUGUAAUGAAUGUGAUGGAUUGUAUUAUAUGACCAGUCUUAAUGUUCAACAUUGUUGAGAAUUAACUGAAAUUAAUUAGAGUUUACUUGGUAAGUAUUUUUUUUUUUUGCACUUGUAUUUUAGUACAUGUUCAAGAGCAUUACAACCACAGGUACUAAGUAUAAAAAUAGAUCUUCAUAAAUUGAUGUAUUUUAGCCCAUGUUUUGAAGUUGCUAUUGUAUUGUUAGGUGUGUAUGUUAAUGAAGUAAAAUAUGUUGUUAGACUAA